RNAcentral lists this ribosomal RNA (274 nucleotides) under uncultured bacterium. RNAcentral's name for it is "partial 16S ribosomal RNA". It matches the Rfam family "Bacterial small subunit ribosomal RNA", at positions 523 to 796 of the family's 1533-position model. The record is from RNAcentral.
AUACGGAGGGUGCAAGCGUUAAUCGGAAUUACUGGGCGUAAAGCGCGCGUAGGCGGUUUUGUAAGUCGGAUGUGAAAGCCCAGGGCUCAACCUUGGAAUUGCAUUCGAAACUGCAUGACUAAAGUAUGGUAGAGGGAAGUGGAAUUCCAGGUGUAGCGGUGAAAUGCGUAGAUAUCUGGAGGAACAUCAGUGGCGAAGGCGACUUCCUGGACCAAUACUGACGCUGAGGUGCGAAAGCGUGGGGAGCAAACAGGAUUAGAAACCCUGGUAGUCC